RNAcentral lists this ribosomal RNA (2005 nucleotides) under gut metagenome. RNAcentral's name for it is "bacterial LSU rRNA". It matches the Rfam family "Bacterial large subunit ribosomal RNA", at positions 1 to 1988 of the family's 2925-position model. The record is from RNAcentral.
UCAAGCGAGAGGUAGGUCCAUGGCGGAUGCCUGUGGAGCCGCAUGGCGAUGAAGGCCGCGAUAAGCUGCGAAAAGCCGCGGGGAGGAGCACAUGUCCCUUGAUCCGCGGACAGCCGAAUGGGGUAACCCGCGCGCCGCGAGGCGCGCACCGCGCGCGCGAAGAAGAUAGCGCGGCGGGGCCAGACCGGGUGAAGUGAACCAUCUAAGUAACCCGGGAGAAGAAAUCAAACGAGAUUCCGCAAGUAGCGGCGAGCGAACGCGGAGGAGCCCAAACCGGAGCAGUCCGGGGUUGUAGGGCCGCAUGGGGAUGUCCCGUGGAGUGAACAAAGGCGGAGGAAGCGGAAGGCGCCGGACAGCGCCGCCGAAGAGGGUGACAGCCCCGUACGUUAAUCCGAUGCCCUCCAUGAUGCGGUACCUGAGUAGGGCGGGGCACGAGGAACCCUGUCCGAAUCCGGGUCGACCACGAUCCAAGGCUGAAUACAAGGCGGCUACCGAUAGCGAAGGAGUACCGUGAGGGAAAGGCGAAAAGAACCCCGGCGAGGGGAGUGAAACAGAACCUGAAACCAUGGACCGGCAAGAUGUCGCGGGCGCGGGCGCCCGCGGCGUGUCUUUUGUAGAAUAAACCUGCGAGUUGCGUUGCGCGGCGAGGCUAAGGGAUGGGAGUCCCGGAGCCGGAGCGAAGGCGAGUCCGAACGGGGCGGCAAGUCGCGCGGCGCAGACCCGAAGCCAAUGUGAUCUUACCAUGGGCAGGCUGAAGCAUGGGUAAAGCCGUGUGGAGGGCCGAACGGUAAUCUGUUAAAAAAGGUAGCGACGACCUGUGGUAAGGAGUGAAAGGCUAAACAAACAUGGAGAUAGCUGGCUCUCCCCGAAAUGCCUUUAGGGACAGCCUCGGGCAGGGACGGCGGAGGUAGGGCGCUGGAUGCGUGAGGGGGGGUCAAACCCUACCGAGCGCGACCAAACCGCGAAUGCCGCCGCCCAGAGCCCGGGAGUGAGACCGUGUGCGACAAGGUUCACGGUCGAGAGGGAAACAGCCCGGACCGCCGGCCAAGGUCCCGAAGUGGCGCUGAGUGUGAAAUGAUGUGCGGAUGCGAGGACAGCCAGGAGGUUGGCUCAGAAGCAGCCAUUCCUUGAAAGAGUGCGUAACAGCUCACUGGUCGAGCACCCGCGCGCAGACAAUGUAGCGGGGCUAAGCGCCACACCGAAGCCGCGGAUUCAUUGGUCCGCUUGCGGACCGUGACUGGUAGGGGAGCAUUCCGCUGACCCGCGAAGGGGCGCCCGCGAGGGGCCCUGGAGGAGGCGGAAGAGAGAAUGCAGGCAUAAGUAACGAAAAGACGGGUGGGAUCCCCGUCCGCCGAAAACCUAAGGUUUCCCGCGUGAAGGCAAUCUGCGCGGGGUAAGUCGGCCCCUAAGGCGAGGGCGGAGGCCGUAGCCGAUGGGAAGGCUGUGAAGAUUCAGCCACUCCAUACAUUUUCGAUGGCAGGACGCAUGGGGCGAGGCCCGGCGGGAGAACGGUAGUUCCCGUCGGAGCCGCGAGGCGACGAGGGCCGCAGGCAAAUCCACGGCCCGAGCCGAGCGGUGAGCGAGAGGAGAGAAAGUCGAAUCGAAGCGGGCGCAGCCGUGGUGCCGGGAAAGACUGUCUAAGGCAAGGAUGCAUGGAACCGUACCGGAAACGGACACACGUAGGUGGGAUGAGUAAUCCAAGGCGCACGAGCGACCUCGCGUUAAGGAACUCGGCAAAAUGCACACGUAACUUCGGGAGAAGUGUGGCCCAUGCUUUUAAAGAGACGUGGGCGGCAGAAAGCGGGCCCAGGCGACUGUUUAUCAAAAACACAGCCAUCUGCGAACCGGAGACGGGACGUAUAGGUGGUGACACCUGCCCGGUGCCGGAAGGUUAAGGGGAGCGCUCAGGGGAGACCCGAAGGUGCGAACCGAAGCCCCGGUAAACGGCGGCCGUAACUAUAACGGUCCUAAGGUAGCGAAAUUCCUUGUCGGGUAAGUUCCGACC